UACGUAGGGGGCAAGCGUUGUCCGGAUUUAUUGGGCGUAAAGAGCGUGUAGGCGGCUAGGUAGGUCCGUUGUGAAAACUCGAGGCUCAACCUCGAGACGCCGGUGGAAACCAUCUAGCUAGAGUCCGGAAGAGGAGAAUGGAAUUCCCGGUGUAGCGGUGAAAUGCGCAGAUAUCGGGAGGAACACCAGAGGCGAAGGCGGCGACCUGGACAGGUACUGACACUCAACUACGAAAGCGUGGGGAGCAAACAGG
RNAcentral lists this ribosomal RNA (253 nucleotides) under uncultured bacterium. RNAcentral describes it as "partial 16S ribosomal RNA". It matches the Rfam family "Bacterial small subunit ribosomal RNA", at positions 524 to 776 of the family's 1533-position model. The record is from RNAcentral.